Molecule: long non-coding RNA, 4133 nt
Filed under: Callithrix jacchus (white-tufted-ear marmoset)
Lineage: Eukaryota; Metazoa; Chordata; Mammalia; Primates; Cebidae
Description: lncRNA (ENSCJAG00000086109.1)
Source: RNAcentral
CUGGGCACAGGCUGCGGAUCUGGCUUAGCUCAAGUGGAGAGAUUCUGCUGGCAGAAAGAGAACACAAAGCUUUUAGUUGGCAUACAAUGCUAGAAUAACAAGGCAGAAAAUUGUGAGGCCUUAACUACUUGACCAAUUCUCUCUACAGAACAUUUUCAGAGCUCUGGGACUAUGGGAAUCUGGAGAGUUAAGAACAAUGUUCUGAAAUGUAGACUGAGAUGUCUUGCAAUCUACUGUGCUUAGGAAACAAAGUCCUGCUGAGCAGAAGUAGCUGAAUUCAGGCACAUGGUUGGAGUCUCUUCAGGAUAUUUGUCUUUGAACCUUCAGGACAGAGAGAGUGUGAAGCUUGGCUAGGAAGUUUUAAGGGCAGAGCUUGCUGCUUUAUUUUUAAAACUUCAGAGCUAUUCUGUUUUUAUAGGCAAAUAUAUCAUGUUAAUGUUUCUAGCAAUAAUGAAAAUAGACUUUGAAUGAUUUUGAAAUAUUUUCCAGUAAUUAUGAAACACUGACUUGUGGAGGGCAUGUGUUGCUAAAGUAGUCACCUUAUAUGUAGCUUUGGAGACAGUUAGAAAUGCAUGUGAGUCACAGACACAAAUCUCUGCUUUAUGAGAAGACAGAGCUAUUUUCUCCAUCAGGUUUUCAAUAUCCAGCGUUCACUUGGCCGAGCGUGUUCUUUCUCCCACUUCUUUGCCUCCAUCCUUCUCAUUCAGAGGAUUUUUAGCUUACUUAUUACCUGUUCAAAGAAGCUGUGACUGGCCAUAAUAUUGGAGGUUUUGGGGUACAUGAGCAGAGCAUGCAAGACAGUUGAUGAGUUCGUGUCAUUUGUAGGGACAUGGAUGAAUCUGGAGAACAUCAUCCUCAGCAAACUGACACAAGAACAGAAAAUGAAACACCGCAUAUUCUCACUCAUAGGAUCUCUGCCAGUAAUUAUCAGGAUGAAGACUGCUAGAGACACUUUAGAAAAUAAUAAUAAUGGAGAAACUCCUCCUUGGAGAACACUGGACUUAGGAUGAAAACCAUCACCAUUAUAACAAUAAUUAUGCUGUAGUAAUUGUAUGAUAAUUUAAUAAUUAUUAGUAACAGGUAUUAUAUGUUGAAAUGACAUGCCAGGUAUUAGAUGUGGUUAUUGCAUUAUUUAAUCUUCAUAGCAAGCUAAUAUUUUCACUACCUUUUCAACAGAGGUAUUGAGAUUGAAAGGCAUAGAGGGAAAUAUUAGCUAUUUUAAUAAGACACAAUGCAAUACGCACUUAUGGUAAAACUAAGUCAAUAUGUAGGACUCUAUUUACAUAGGAUGCCGUAUUUACUUAUUGUAAAUCUAAGUCAAUAUAUAGGACUCUGUAGGUUAUUUGUAGCUUCAAAUAUUUCUCAAUACAAAAUCCCAUGAAAAUAAGUGUAAUGCCUUGAACAUGUUUAACAAAUACAAUGUUUUGUGCAUCACGUAAUUAGAAAGAAACAGGUUAUACAUUACAUAUCACAUUAAAAGAUAUCAAUGGUUGAAUCAUUAGACAUGUCAUAUGUGGUAGGUGAAAAGGGACCCGCAAAGAUAUUAUAUCCUGAUUUUGGGGAAGCAAUGAGUUAUAUGGCCAAAAAAUGUAUCUGUAGAUGUGAUAUGUGAUUAUAUUCAGGACCUGAGAUGGAGAGAUAUCAAAUUGGCCCUAAAUGCAAUCACAAUCAGGUGUAUCCUUGUAAUAGAAAGUCAGAGGUAUAUUUAACAUAAACAGAGGAGGAAAAAAAUGUUAAGACGGAGCAGAGAGAGAUUAUAAAAUGUUGUCCAUGAAGAUUGGAGUGAUGUAACCAAAACCCAAGGAAUGCCACAGCUACCAGAAGCUGGAAGAGGCAGGGAACUGAUUAUUCUCUAGAGCAUCCAGAGGUAAUGACCCCAUUGACACCUUUAAUUACAGCCCAGUGUUACUGAGGGUUGAUGAUAAUAUGCUUCAACUUUUUAGAUUACUCAUACCGGAAGUGUGAGUAGAAAGUUCCAAAGAGUGAAUUGAAUUAAGAAUAUAGGUGAAAGAAUCUAUGCAAUGAGGAAAAAAAUACUUCACUUCUUCAGAGAGAAACAGUAAUAAAAUACAGAUAAAUAGAACCAUUAAGAAUGGUUGGGGAGCAAGUAGAGUCACCCUGCCUCAAUAGAAAUUCUGUUUCUAACACUAAUUUGUUAACAUCUCUAAUAAUAUAAAAAUGAAUACACUAAGUAUGCCUAUAUUAUAGAGUUAUUGAAAUAAUCAUGUAAAAUAAUAAAUGUGACAUUCUAAUGGAUGGCUCAUAGUAAGUGUUCAUUGAAUGUUGAUAUUUUUAUCAUUAAAAUGUUUAAUUAAAAAAGAUGAAUGAGUUUAAUAAUUAUCUCAACUAAUAAUAAAAUGUGAGAUUACAGCCAAUAUUUGGUGGAUUACAAGCACAAGAAAAUUAAAGUUUAGUAGAUGAGGAAAAGUAUUUAUUUAUGAUGUGAAUAUAGAUACAAAAUAGGUGGUAUGAGCAGAUCUGAAGAUUUAGUACUAAUUCAAGUACUGGAAAUUAGAAAAUCAAUCUUAUAUAAAGCACUGUGAAUUAAGACAAAGUAAAUAAAUUUAGAAAAUUAAGUUAAGAAAGAAGGAGAAUUAUUUAUGUUCCUUUGGAUAUAUACCCAGUAUAAAGACAUAUACACAUAAGUUCAUUGAAACACUAUUCUCCAUAGCAAAGAUAUGGAAUCAACCUAAAUGCCCAUCAAUGAUAGACUACAUAAAGAAAACAUGGUGAGUAUUCACUACUGAAUACCAUGCAGCCCUGAAAAAGAAUGACAGCAUGUUCUUUGCAGGGACAUGGGUGGAGCUGGAGGUGAUUUUCCUUAGCAAAUUAACAUAGGAACAGAAAACCAAAUACUGCAUGUUCUCACUUAUAAGUGGGAGCUAAAUGAUGAGAACAUAUGAACACAUAGAGUGGAGCAACACAUAUUGGGGCUUUUUGGAGGAUAGAGGUUGGAAAGAGGAAGAAGAUCAGAAAAAGUAACUAAUAGGUACCAGUCUUAAUACCUGGGUGAUGAAAUAAUCUGUAUAAGCCCCCAUGACACAAGUUUACCUAUGUAACAAACCUGAACUUGUACCCCUGGACUUAAACUAAAAUUUUAAAAAAGCAUAAAAAGAAGAAAGAUGGAAAAAUAUACCAUUUUUUUCAAUAAUGAUGGUCAACAUGCAGAAACCUAUAAGCCAGGUAGUAAAUAUUUUAGGCUUUGUCUUACAGUCUGUUACAGCUACUCAAAUAUGCCACUGUAGUAUGAAAGCAGUGAUAGACAAUUCAGAGAUAAAAGAAGAUGUCUUCCUAGAAUAUUGUAUUUAACUAAAAGGUGGCGAGUUGGAUUUCUCAGGCCCUAAUAUAGAUUGUCAUGUGACUUUUUGGAAGGCUCCUACCUUAAUCAAUUUCAACUUAGAUAUUUAUAAAAUACAGAAAUUAACAUCUUCCUCAUAGAGAGUUAUUAUUCUCGAAGACCAAGUCAUGUAUUAGAAACACUGAUAAGCUAUGAAAGCACAAGUUUCACAACCAUGCUGGUCCUACUGGAUCAGUAACUCCAGCGAGGCAUUUACAGUUCUGUUUUCCUAAAAGCUUUCAUGGUGAUCUGGUGCAGGCAGUUCCGCAUCAGACUAAGAGCUGACUGAAUAAUGACUGUAAAAUAAUUAUUACAGAGUCUAGCAGAGUGUGUGCACUCAGCACUUAACAAAAGAAACAUGAUACAGUGGAAAACAGCCUUUAAAAAAUGCCAAAGACAGCUGUAAAGAAAAAGUUCAUGAAGGGCCAGGGGUGAUAGAAGACAAGAAUGAUAGUUACUUCUACUUCAAUCAAGGUUGGAAAAGCAAAGGAGCCAAUUUAAUGAAUGUGACCCUGAGUGUGUUUUAGCAGAAAUUUAAUAGGAUCCUCUUCUUUCUCUAACAUUCUUUCCUGAGUAAAGUGUCUCUCUGCUAGGAGUUUGGGACAUAAUUUAGACACAGAGAAUCCAAGUUCUUAGAAUACAUCUUCUCAUUACAUCUAGGUACAUUGUUCUUUCUCUAAAAAUUCACUUGAUUCCUAUCACAUGGAUUCAUUUAGUAAAAUUAUACGUAUGUGUCAAGAUGUAAUUCAAUAUAUUCCUUAAGAAUUAUAUCCCAUGAUGUCAUGGUCAAUAAUGU